AUCUAGCCAUGGGCAGGUUGAAGGUUGGGUAACACUAACUGGAGGACCGAACCGACUAAUGUUGAAAAAUUAGCGGAUGACUUGUGGCUGGGGGUGAAAGGCCAAUCAAACCGGGAGAUAGCUGGUUCUCCCCGAAAGCUAUUUAGGUAGCGCCUCGUGAAUUCAUCUCCGGGGGUAGAGCACUGUUUCGGCAAGGGGGUCAUCCCGACUUACCAACCCGAUGCAAACUGCGAAUACCGGAGAAUGUUAUCACGGGAGACACACGGCGGGUGCUAACGUCCGUCGUGAAGAGGGAAACAACCCAGACCGCCAGCUAAGGUCCCAAAGUCAUGGUUAAGUGGGAAACGAUGUGGGAAGGCCCAGACAGCCAGGAUGUUGGCUUAGAAGCAGCCAUCAUUUAAAGAAAGCGUAAUAGCUCACUGGUCGAGUCGGCCUGCGCGGAAGAUGUAACGGGGCUAAACCAUGCACCGAAGCUGCGGCAGCGACGCUGAUGCGUUGUUGGGUAGGGGAGCGUUCUGUAAGCCUGUGAAGGUGGCCUGUGAGGGUUGCUGGAGGUAUCAGAAGUGCGAAUGCUGACAUAAGUAACGAUAAAGCGGGUGAAAAGCCCGCUCGCCGGAAGACCAAGGGUUCCUGUCCAACGUUAAUCGGGGCAGGGUGAGUCGACCCCUAAGGCGAGGCCGAAAGGCGUAGUCGAUGGGAAACAGGUUAAUAUUCCUGUACUUGGUGUUACUGCGAAGGGGGGACGGAGAAGGCUAUGUUGGCCGGGCGACGGUUGUCCCGGUUUAAGCGUGUAGGCUGGUUUUCCAGGCAAAUCCGGAAAAUCAAGGCUGAGGCGUGAUGACGAGGCACUACGGUGCUGAAGCGACAAAUGCCCUGCUUCCAGGAAAAG
This 889-nucleotide ribosomal RNA is filed under the name Escherichia coli. Its description in RNAcentral is "partial 23S ribosomal RNA". It matches the Rfam family "Bacterial large subunit ribosomal RNA", at positions 728 to 1617 of the family's 2925-position model. The record is from RNAcentral. Lineage: Bacteria; Pseudomonadati; Pseudomonadota; Gammaproteobacteria; Enterobacterales; Enterobacteriaceae.